CAGUGGAGGUGAGCACAUCUUGCUGGAGAUUCCUGCCUACCUGAGGCCUUCUAAAGAUACAAAAGGUGAAGCUCCGUCUUCCUAGUCUUCUCCCCUUCUACUGUAGAGGAGAACCACUGUUUGAAAGAAGUAAGAUUGCAGUAGUGAAAGUUUGGUGUAUUUUCCACAUUUCUGGAGCUGACUUCUGCGGGUGGACGAAGGACGUGCCAACAGCAAGAGUGUCUAUAGCUCAGUGUUUUGAAAUGGUAAGGCAUGCUGAUCAAGGAUAUCUCUACCAAUUUUAACUAACCAGUGUGGCCUGCUCAGGCCAAUAUUAUGGACAGCAACAAACAAGAGGACACUUUGUCUCAUCAGUCUCAUGGAUAUAACUUUCUGCUUACAGCUGUAUUUGGCUAAGGCCUGUAGGUGGUUAUGGACUUUGACUCAGUGGCUGGGCUUGGAUGGGAGCCUUCUGGCUUACAAUCCUGUGCUCCAACCAUCUAAUCUCUCAGCCCAAAGGAAAUUGCGGUGUCCCUGUGGACCCUUGGGCAUGGAGGUUAGCCCAUGGCUGAACCCUUCAGACAGAAAUGGUACAAAACCAAACCCGAGUUUCUCCUCCUCAGAUCUAACUCAUCAAGAAUAGAUGCCCUAGGGGAACAGAAGAUUGAGCAUGCUGCCCUUUGGCCAUUGGCACUAAUUGUCCAACUCAAUAGGGAGGACAAAAGAUGAAGUGGGGAGUCCAUGCCCAUCUCAGCCUAGGGGCAGGUCUACAGCACGAUUAACCUCCCAGAUAUCACUUGACCAGAUAAUGCUUGGACCUGGGACAGAAUGCAAUACCAAUCCACCAUGCCAGCCAUCCCAACAGAGGCAUCUUGGUGUCAGCAUUGCUGUGACCCAGAAAUGAGGAGAGGGUGAUGGGGAAUUCACCAACCUGGGGAAUUCAACGCUGCAGGUAGUGAAACACCUUCUAAACCAGAAGAGGUUCCUCUGUGUUCCAAUAUUAUUGAUGGUAAAGGUAGUGCCCCUGGUGGGAUAUGCUGUCUUCGCUGGGGUAUGUGUUAAUAUCCACUAUGCUUAGUGAGGAAUUUCCCCUCUCCUGCAGAGUUUGGCAGCAGCUAUUGGAUUCCUUCUCCCUCAGUCUUAGGUCCCACAGUCCCAGUUCAGAGGAGCUGGGCUGUUCUCUAAUACACUCCCAGUCUACAGCAGCUCUGAAAGUCUCUUUCAGCUCACACGUGCGACCACUGGUAGGGCAUGGGUGCAUGCAUCCUUAUGCAGUGACACAUCAGCAGGAGAUGACCUCACUCCGAGGAGGCAAGCACCAGUUCAGAUGAGUUACCAGAGCCAAAACCCUGCAAAACUGAAUUUUCUCUUAGAACAAUCCCUACAGCAUUCACAUUGUUGCAUACAACCACCUCAAACUUCUCCCAAGCCCCUGAAAGUAAUGCAACCCCUUUGUAGAAUAACAAACAAAUGCAAUGUGUCAAACAACAUGGGGGAUCUGGUGUGUAAUUUCUGUCUCGUGUCCUUUUCACAGCAGGAAAUGUUGGGUGAAAUGUUCUGGUCCUCCAAAGAAGUGGACCAUGCAGCAUGGGAUGGCAGCCCCUCCAGCCCCUUCGUGAUCCCUGAGGCUUUGGUGCUGGGCUCAGCACAAGGAAGGAUGCCAGAGAAAAAGUAUGAGAUUACCUCUCAGCAAAACCCUUUGGCCUGAAUCACUGACAUCUUUGAUUUAAACAGUAAUUUAAAACACGCAUGAUGAGAAGUCAGGGAAGGGAUCCAGGAAGGCCUGGGGUCCAGCCAACCUGGUGCAUUUGCCAAUUUGCUGCUCUAAAGGUAAGCUUGGUAACUGACAAAUGGAGGCCAUGCCCUGGGAAUUCUUCACAAAAGAUUACAUUUUCUACAGCCAUUUACAAUUACACCUGUACUGUGCCAUUUCACUCUCCAUGGGCUAGGUGCAUAUAGCAGCGUAUUUUCCUUCAGCACAGUUGCACGAGGAAUCUGAAGACAGACAAAAGCAUGGACGAUAGAGGUUCCCAAAGGACGUGUGAACUGAGACUACGUUAAUUCAUAUGAACUGAGACUAUGUUAAACCUUCAGGGGAUUUGCCACCCCUGAACUUGAGACUCAAACCUCUACUUUUCUGUUGAUCCAUACUACAAUAAAAAGAAGUCCAACUGGCUA
This is a long non-coding RNA of Numida meleagris (helmeted guineafowl), 2157 nucleotides long. RefSeq lists it as uncharacterized. NCBI's taxonomy places the organism in Eukaryota, Metazoa, Chordata, Aves, Galliformes, Numididae. The record is from RefSeq and is a predicted model, not a curated record. The transcript is spliced from 7 exons.